This 497-nucleotide ribosomal RNA is filed under the name uncultured bacterium. Its description in RNAcentral is "partial 16S ribosomal RNA". It matches the Rfam family "Bacterial small subunit ribosomal RNA", at positions 28 to 507 of the family's 1533-position model. The record is from RNAcentral.
GAUGAACGCUGGCGGCGUGCCUAAUACAUGCAAGUCGAGCGAACAGAUAAGGAGCUUGCUCCUUUUACGUUAGCGGCGGACGGGUGAGUAACACGUGGGUAACCUACCUAUAAGACUGGGAUAACUUCGGGAAACCGGAGCUAAUACCGGAUAACAUUUGGAACCGCAUGGUUCUAAAGUGAAAGAUGGUUUUGCUAUCACUUAUAGAUGGACCCGCGCCGUAUUAGCUAGUUGGUAAGGUAACGGCUUACCAAGGCGACGAUACGUAGCCGACCUGAGAGGGGGAUCGGCCACACGGGAACUGAGACACGGUCCAGACUCCUACGGGAGGCAGCAGUAGGGAAUCUGCCGCAAUGGGCGAAAGCCUGACGGAGCAACGCCGAGUGAGUGAUGAAGGGGUUCGGCUCGUAAAACUCUGUUAUUAGGGAAGAACAAACGUGUAAGUAACUGUGCACGUCUUGACGGUACCUAAUCAGAAAGCCACGGCUAACUACGUG